GGGAGAGUUCCAGAGCGGUCAAAUGGAACAGACUGUAAAUCUGUCGUCUUUCGGCUUCGGUGGUUCGAAUCCACCCUCUCCCACCA
Molecule: transfer RNA, 86 nt
Filed under: Clostridia bacterium
Lineage: Bacteria; Bacillati; Bacillota; Clostridia
Also listed under: 1 other name
Description: tRNA-Tyr
Rfam family: tRNA
About the family: Transfer RNA (tRNA) molecules are approximately 80 nucleotides in length. Their secondary structure includes four short double-helical elements and three loops (D, anti-codon, and T loops). Further hydrogen bonds mediate the characteristic L-shaped molecular structure. tRNAs have two regions of fundamental functional importance: the anti-codon, which is responsible for specific mRNA codon recognition, and the 3' end, to which the tRNAs corresponding amino acid is attached (by aminoacyl-tRNA synthetases). tRNAs cope with the degeneracy of the genetic code in two manners: having more than one tRNA (with a specific anti-codon) for a particular amino acid; and 'wobble' base-pairing, i.e. permitting non-standard base-pairing at the 3rd anti-codon position.
Source: RNAcentral